GACGAACGCUGGCGGCGUGCUUAACACAUGCAAGUCGAACGGAAAGGCCCUGCUUUUGUGGGGUGCUCGAGUGGCGAACGGGUGAGUAACACGUGAGUAACCUGCCCUUGACUUUGGGAUAACUUCAGGAAACUGGGGCUAAUACCGGAUAGGAGCUCCUGCUGCAUGGUGGGGGUUGGAAAGUUUCGGCGGUUGGGGAUGGACUCGCGGCUUAUCAGCUUGUUGGUGGGGUAGUGGUUUACCAAGGCUUUGACGGGUAGCCGGCCUGGGAGGGUGACCGGCCACAUUGGGACUGAGAUACGGCCCAGACUCCUACGGGCGGCAGCAGUGGGGAAUAUUGCACAAUGGGCGGAAGCCUGAUGCAGCAACGCCGCGUGCGGGAUGACGGCCUUCGGGUUGUAAACCGCUUUCGCCUGUGACGAAGCGUGAGUGACGGUAAUGGGUAAAGAAGCACCGGCUAACUACGUG
RNAcentral lists this ribosomal RNA (468 nucleotides) under uncultured bacterium. RNAcentral describes it as "partial 16S ribosomal RNA". It matches the Rfam family "Bacterial small subunit ribosomal RNA", at positions 28 to 507 of the family's 1533-position model. The record is from RNAcentral.